UAACAUCGGCUUGAAAGUCGAGCGAUGGCCAGUAAAGUGGUUGGACUGUGGUUUGGGAUUCUUCUUGGGUGGGUUGCCACGUUUCUAACGCUGCGACUUCUCCAAGCCAGGAGUUGGUCAGAUUUGCCUUGCAGAAAGGCCUAAGGGCUUGGUAGACUGGAUCUUAUCGUGGAGGGUUUAUCUAGUCGAACGGCUUGGUGGACUGGAUCCUUUUGAGGAGGG
Molecule: long non-coding RNA, 222 nt
Filed under: Amborella trichopoda
Lineage: Eukaryota; Viridiplantae; Streptophyta; Magnoliopsida; Amborellales; Amborellaceae
Description: long non-coding RNA (ATRI_LNC002896)
Source: RNAcentral